GACAUGAUUUUACUGGUGGCGGAUGAAGUCUGAUGUUAGAAGCUUCUGUGUAAUCUGCCAUAAGUCAUGCAAAAAUGUACUGUGCAUGUAUUUAGGAUAUGUUAGUAUAAAGGGGUAAAACCAUGUUAAUGCCUUUAUUUCCAUUUUUCUCAAUGACAACUUUUGGUAUUUGCAGGUGUCUUCCAGCAAGGAUGCCUACUCUCAUGGGAUCUUUGGCAUUGGGAAGUACAGGACGGAGUUCCUGUCAAGAUUGCAGAAUUUGGAAGUCUGGAUGACUAGACAGAAAUAAUUACUUUAUGAAAUAGAAAUGGAAGAACUCGAUACAAGUCCAACAAUUGUGGAUCCUACAUGUUCAGUGCCACUUGAGUAGGUGUGGUGUUCAUAUAAAGUCGCUGACUGAAGAGUGGUGGCUUCAAAGCCAUCUGUGUGGUUGCUUGUGUGCAGACACUUUUGGUAGCACUGUCUCGGUAAGUGUUAUAGACAUUAGUGAGACUAAUUUUUUUAUGCAGAAAAAAGAAUAGAGUAGAAUUAUAAGCAGUUUUGGAGAUUCUUCUGUAAUUGUUGUAUACACCUGCUAGUCUUUUAAAAAUGUACUUCAUUCAGAUUAGGGCUCUUGACUUAAAAUGCUCCAGAAAUGGUAAAGCUUGCAUUAGGCUUUGCUUUUAAAAUAUUUUAGGACUAGUUAUAACUACUCGGAAGGUAUCUUUAAUAGAUCUGUUCUUUUCAGUUUUUUCUGGAGAUGUGAGGGUGCAGACAGUUCUGAAGAUGGAUGGAUACAAAUGUAAUGCAGAUUUGAUGUAUGCAUAUAAUUUUGCUAUUAUAUAAAGUGUGUAAA
This is a long non-coding RNA of Penaeus indicus, 835 nucleotides long. RefSeq lists it as uncharacterized. Lineage: Eukaryota; Metazoa; Arthropoda; Malacostraca; Decapoda; Penaeidae. The record is from RefSeq and is a predicted model, not a curated record. The transcript has 3 exons.